AAGUCAUGUUGAGGGCAAUUUCGUAACAUUCCCUUGUAGUUCUCCCACGCUUCGUAACAUGACUCCCUAUCAUUUUGUUAAAAAUUUGCGAUGUUUUUCUUUAAUUU
Small nucleolar RNA from Lactuca sativa (garden lettuce), 107 nucleotides. Lineage: Eukaryota; Viridiplantae; Streptophyta; Magnoliopsida; Asterales; Asteraceae. The record is from RefSeq and is a predicted model, not a curated record.